GACGAACCGUGCGAACGUUGUUCGGAAUCACUGGGCUUAAAGGGCGCGUAGGCGGCCGCGUUAGUCUCGGGUGAAAUCUUUCGGCUCAACCGGAAACGUGCCUGGGAUACUGCGCGGCUGGAGGGAGGUAGGGGCGGACGGAACUUCCGGUGGAGCGGUGAAAUGCGUUGAUAUCGGAAGGAACGCCGGUGGCGAAAGCGGUCCGCUGGACCUCUACUGACGCUGAGGCGCGAAAGCCAGGGGAG
Molecule: ribosomal RNA, 245 nt
Filed under: uncultured bacterium
Lineage: Bacteria
Description: partial 16S ribosomal RNA
Rfam family: Bacterial small subunit ribosomal RNA
Source: RNAcentral